GAACUCAGGGACUCAGAGUGAUGGCGAGGAGAAGCAGCCCGGCCUGGUGAUGGAGCGCGCUCUGCUCAGUGAUGAGAGUGAGUUGGGUGGGAGAGGGUGGGGCUGGCAGGAGGGGUGGGGAAGGGGGGUCAGGGUCAUGGGAGGCUGGGCAGGCCACUGCCCUGAGGCGGGGUACAGAUCCAUGGGCACCCACGGAGAAAGGGGGUGGAAGGGCUGUGGCUAGCCGCCCCAAGGGCCUCAGUGGGCCUCUGUUCCCACCCGGCCUGCAGGAGUCCUGAAGGAAAUCCAGAGCACACUGGAGGGAGACCGCGGGUGAGGCACCGCCCAGGCCAGCUGGGGUGGGCCCGAGGCUCUGCCAGAGGGCUCAGGGGAGCGCUGAGAGUGGAGGUCCCUGAGGUCAUGAUUCCCCUGUCUUUGCCUGUGCAGGAGCGGCAGCUGGCGUUCACAUCGAGCGGCCGUGGGGUGCAGCCUCAGCAAUGGCGGAG
This 485-nucleotide small RNA is filed under the name Pan troglodytes (chimpanzee). RNAcentral's name for it is "retained intron". The record is from RNAcentral. Lineage: Eukaryota; Metazoa; Chordata; Mammalia; Primates; Hominidae.